Molecule: ribosomal RNA, 247 nt
Filed under: uncultured bacterium
Lineage: Bacteria
Description: partial 16S ribosomal RNA
Rfam family: Bacterial small subunit ribosomal RNA
Source: RNAcentral
AUACGGAGGAUCCGAGCGUUAUCCGGAUUUAUUGGGUUUAAAGGGAGCGUAGGCGGCCUGUUAAGUCAGGGGUGAAAGACGGCAGCUCAACUGUCGCAGUGCCCUUGAUACUGAUGGGCUUGAAUUCAGAUGAGGUAGGCGGAAUGUGACAAGUAGCGGUGAAAUGCAUAGAUAUGUCACGGAACACCGAUUGCGAAGGCAGCUUACUAAACUGCGAUUGACGCUGAGGCUCGAAAGCGUGGGGAUC